This 456-nucleotide ribosomal RNA is filed under the name Panthera leo (lion). RNAcentral's name for it is "partial 12S ribosomal RNA". It matches the Rfam family "Bacterial small subunit ribosomal RNA", at positions 887 to 1525 of the family's 1533-position model. The record is from RNAcentral. Lineage: Eukaryota; Metazoa; Chordata; Mammalia; Carnivora; Felidae.
CAACAGCUUAAAACUCAAAGGACUUGGCGGUGCUUUACAUCCCUCUAGAGGAGCCUGUUCUAUAAUCGAUAAACCCCGAUAAACCUCACCAUCUCUUGCUAAUUCAGCCUAUAUACCGCCAUCUUCAGCAAACCCUAAAAAGGAAGAAAAGUAAGCACAAGUGUCUUAACACAAAAAAGUUAGGUCAAGGUGUAGCCUAUGAGAUGGGAAGCAAUGGGCUACAUUUUCUACAAUUAGAACACCCACGAAAAUCCUUAUGAAACUAAGCAUUCAAGGAGGAUUUAGCAGUAAAUUUGAGAAUAGAGAGCUCAAUUGAAUCGGGCCAUGAAGCACGCACACACCGCCCGUCACCCUCCUCAAGUGACUAGCCCCUAAAGAAACCUAUUCAAACCACUACAUCCACAAGAGGAGACAAGUCGUAACAAGGUAAGCAUACUGGAAAGUGUGCUUGGAUGA